This is a non-coding RNA of Chiloscyllium plagiosum (whitespotted bambooshark), 589 nucleotides long. Lineage: Eukaryota; Metazoa; Chordata; Chondrichthyes; Orectolobiformes; Hemiscylliidae. The record is from RefSeq and is a predicted model, not a curated record.
CUACAGGUUCGGCGCUUUUAUCCCGGCGUGAAAGUCUUCCAAGAUUCCAGCGGCCAAACGGGAUGAUCUCGUCCAGUCCCAGCGUGGAGAUCUUGCAUUCCAGCCUGGAAGAGUAGUCUCUUGGUGUACCGACCUUGCGCCAGAGGGGCAGUCUUGGCAGCCUGCAGGUGUGAAGGUCUUUUUAGCGGCAGCUUCCAGCAUUUUUGCUUUAGAAAAAAAAUCGACAUUCUCCGAACUGAAAUUGAUUUGAGCACUAAGCCUACAGAUCAGAAAAUAAUCUGAGAGUAACACCCACUGAUGGAUUGGAAAUAUUUCAUGUUUUUGUUUAGGUCAUCCCAAAUGUUUACAGCCAAUGGAGUACUGUUAAAAAGCAUGGUUGCCAAGAAUAUUUGGAAUGAAGGAUGGAUUCAAGAACUGCAUUGAUAAUUUGCAAGUGUUACUCCACUGCAAAAAAAAACAGGAAGGAAUGUGAAAUCAAGAAUUACAGAACUAUUACAUUCCAGUAACUCCUUUAAAAUUCCUGUUUACCUAUCACCAAAAACAGAUUGACUAUGUAUUUGGACAAGUAUCAGUUGAUUAAAGGAAAUAG